This 398-nucleotide ribosomal RNA is filed under the name uncultured bacterium. Its description in RNAcentral is "partial 16S ribosomal RNA". It matches the Rfam family "Bacterial small subunit ribosomal RNA", at positions 523 to 918 of the family's 1533-position model. The record is from RNAcentral.
AUACGUAGGGUGCGAGCGUUGUCCGGAAUUACUGGGCGUAAAGAGCUCGUAGGUGGUUUGUCGCGUCGUCUGUGAAAUUCCGGGGCUUAACUCCGGGCGUGCAGGCGAUACGGGCAUAACUUGAGUACUGUAGGGGAGACUGGAAUUCCUGGUGUAGCGGUGAAAUGCGCAGAUAUCAGGAGGAACACCGGUGGCGAAGGCGGGUCUCUGGGCAGUACCUGACGCUGAGGAGCGAAAGCAUGGGUAGCGAACAGGAUUAGAUACCCUGGUAGUCCAUGCCGUAAAUGGUGGGCGCUAGGUGUAGGGGUCUUCCACGACUUCUGUGCCGUAGCUAACGCAUUAAGCGCCCCGCCUGGGGAGUACGGCCGCAAGGCUAAAACUCAAAGGAAUUGACGGGG